GACAGAGGGUGCAAACGUUGUUCGGAAUUACUGGGCGUAAAGAGCGCGCAGGCGGUCGUUCAAGUCGCGUGUGAAAGCCCCCGGCUCAACUGGGGAGGGUCACGCGAUACUGAUCGACUCGAAGGCAGGAGAGGGUAGUGGAAUUCCCGGUGUAGUGGUGAAAUGCGUAGAUAUCAAGUGGAACACCAGUGGCGAAGGCGAGUCUCUGGACAUUUCCUGACGCUGAGGCACGAAAGCCAGGGGAGCAAACGGG
Molecule: ribosomal RNA, 253 nt
Filed under: uncultured bacterium
Lineage: Bacteria
Description: partial 16S ribosomal RNA
Rfam family: Bacterial small subunit ribosomal RNA
Source: RNAcentral